AUCAGCACGAGGAUAAGAUCUUGACGCCGGUGAAGUCUGUGAAUGUGAACCUUGAGCCUUACUAAGCUGCUUGCGUUGCAAAAAGGGUCCAUCGCUGAUCUCAUUGCCAAUGUUGGAUCUGGAUUUGGUGUCAUUGGUGCGGUGGUGCCAGGGUUUUGGUUGCUGCGUUGGCGGCCGUCAGGGCCUACCAUCCCCUGAGGGUGUUACUGUUGUCGAGGAGAGGAAGGAGAAGGGAAUUGAUAUCUGGUAAUUCACAAUGGCAAGUACCUGGAGGGAUUGUGCUUUAUUAGGAAUAAUUAUCUUAAACUUGUCUGGAUUUUCCUGUGAAUGAAAUUUGAUGGAUUGGAAUAAACUACCAAUGCUUGAAUAGUUUAGUUGACAUAUUUGGAGCCACUUCUCUUCCAUACUAAUACCUAGCUGGUCAUUGACUUUUAUCCUUGAAGCGUGUAGGCUAUACUUUACAUCUUACAGCUUAAAAGAUUGUUCUGUCUCAUUAAGGGCCUGGAGUGGUUACUAUGAAUAUAAUUCAAAGUUCAAAUGAUGGCCUUUGAUACUGAUUAACCAACCAGUAUUUUUUUGAUAUUGGAGUUAAUUUGUCUCUGCUAUUUUACUAAUUAGAGCUGCAUCUGCAUGUUCUAUCUGGAGGUCAAAUGAUGAUAGGAAGGGUUGGAUGAAGGUGCAUGACAUCGAUGAUGAUGUUGAGCAUCAUGAGUAAUGAUAGGAUUAGAAGGUCAUUCUAAGGAGAAAAUUUUGUGUGUGGCAAAUAAGCUGGAAAGCAUUGGCUAAAGCACACCACAUGCAGUCAAGGUGGUCAAUCAGCAUUCAGUUCAAAGAUAAGUAAGCUGUAUAUGGUAGGAGAUAAUUAUUUAGAAGAAUUUUAAAUAAUGGGAGAUAGUGGCAGAAGAUGACUGAAUGGAAAUGGGCAAAAGGAUGCAGGGGUGAAUCUGUGAGUAU
This is a long non-coding RNA of Dioscorea cayenensis subsp. rotundata (Guinea yam), 954 nucleotides long. RefSeq lists it as uncharacterized. The record is from RefSeq and is a predicted model, not a curated record. The transcript is spliced from 3 exons. NCBI's taxonomy places the organism in Eukaryota, Viridiplantae, Streptophyta, Magnoliopsida, Dioscoreales, Dioscoreaceae.